AGCGAACGCUGGCGGCAGGCCUAACACAUGCAAGUCGAACGAACCUUUCGGGGUUAGUGGCGGACGGGUGAGUAACCCGUGGGAACGUGCCUUUAGGUUCGGAAUAACUCAGGGAAACUUGUGCUAAUACCGAAUGUGCCCUUCGGGGGAAAGAUUUAUCGCCUUUAGAGCGGCCCGCGUCUGAUUAGCUAGUUGGUUGAGGUAAUGGCUCACCAAGGCGACGAUCAGUAGCUGGUCUGAGAGGAUGAGCAGCCACAUUGGGACUGAGACACGGCCCAAACUCCUACGGGAAGCAGCAGUGGGGAAUCUUGCGCAAUGGGCGAAAGCCUGACGCAGCCAUGCCGCGUGAAUGAUGAAGGUCUUAGGAUUGUAAAAUUCUUUCACCGGGGACGAUAAUGACGGUACCCGGAGAAGAAGCCCCGGCUAACUUCGUG
This 434-nucleotide ribosomal RNA is filed under the name uncultured bacterium. RNAcentral's name for it is "partial 16S ribosomal RNA". It matches the Rfam family "Bacterial small subunit ribosomal RNA", at positions 29 to 507 of the family's 1533-position model. The record is from RNAcentral.